UUCCGAACCCGGAAGUUAAGCUCUUCAGCGCCGAUGGUACUGCACUCGGGAGGGUGUGGGAGAGUAGGUCGCCGCCGGAC
This 80-nucleotide ribosomal RNA is filed under the name Planomonospora parontospora subsp. sphaerica. Lineage: Bacteria; Bacillati; Actinomycetota; Actinomycetes; Streptosporangiales; Streptosporangiaceae. The record is from RNAcentral.